GCCCAGAUGGUGAAAUUGGUAGACACGCUACUUUGAGGGGGUAGUGAUCGAAAGGUCGUGCAAGUUCGAGUCUUGUUCUGGGCACCA
This 87-nucleotide transfer RNA is filed under the name Bacteroidales bacterium. RNAcentral describes it as "tRNA-Leu". It matches the Rfam family "tRNA". Rfam says of the family: Transfer RNA (tRNA) molecules are approximately 80 nucleotides in length. Their secondary structure includes four short double-helical elements and three loops (D, anti-codon, and T loops). The record is from RNAcentral. Lineage: Bacteria; Pseudomonadati; Bacteroidota; Bacteroidia; Bacteroidales. RNAcentral also lists the same sequence under 1 other name.